RNAcentral lists this ribosomal RNA (253 nucleotides) under uncultured bacterium. RNAcentral describes it as "partial 16S ribosomal RNA". It matches the Rfam family "Bacterial small subunit ribosomal RNA", at positions 524 to 776 of the family's 1533-position model. The record is from RNAcentral.
UACGUAGGUGGCAAGCGUUGUCCGGAUUUACUGGGCGUAAAGAGCGCGCAGGCGGUCGCUCAAGUCGCGUGUGAAAGCCCCCGGCUCAACUGGGGAGGGUCACGCGAUACUGAUCGACUGGAAGGCAGGAGAGGGUAGUGGAAUUCCCGGUGUAGUAGUGAAAUGCGUAGAUAUCGGGAGGAACACCUAUGGCGAAGGCAGCUCGCUGGGACGUUACUGACGCUGAGACGCGAAAGCGUGGGGAGCAAACAGG